GUGCCAGGAGUGAUCAGCGAGAGACCAGGAAACACAGAUGAAGCUGGAUCAUUUUUGGGGUGCAAGGCGCCUUGUGUCGUGCACAUGCUUAAGCCCGCUCGGCCAACUUCUGAGAUCUUAUCAGGAAGCUGCUGAUCACCAUUUUCAGGUGUUUCUCUCUAUUGGAAGACUGCCUUUCCCUGGCGCUGGCUGUGACAAAUUAUUAUUUUAGAGGGACAGUUAGCAACAGCCUGACCAUCACCUGAUGGCUGCCUGACAUUCCUGGUGGGGGCGGGGGGCGCCCUCUCCUGCCCUGCUCAUGUCUGACUAACCACCUGCUGUAACAAUACAUCAUCACCGUGACAACAUCAGAAAACACUGUGUACAGGACCACACCGACCAGGAGAUCCAGAUCCCUGUAGUCUGGCCACACACGCCACCGCAUCUGUAUACUCCAUUCCAGCAGCAGCACAGAAAGCCGAAGCCACAGCCCUCUGCCAUUUCUGUCACUCCCCGGAGCACUGGGUUGAAAGAAUACUAUAUUCAUUUUUUAACAAAUUGCAUUUACAUAAAACUGUCAGGCAUUCAGAAAUAUUUAACAGAAAGGAAGUCACUUCGGCCAGCCUGCAGUUUGUUUUCCACACCUGUGGUCAGUGAUAUUCCCUUGAAGAUCUGUUCAUCUCAUAAUGAAUCUUUAAAGAUGUACUCUUUGCUUUAUGUACUUAAAAAAGAUGGAGAGAAGAGGCAUGUGGGCAAAGCGCGUCGUGUUGGAUUUAUUUAUUUCUGUGUAAAUACUGAACAGUGUCAGGAAAGUCCAUUUCCAGCUCGAUUUCAUCUUGAGCAUUUCUCGCUCCCCAAAGGUAGUGACCUUUCCAUCGUCGGUUGCUCUGAAGUGAGGCGACGCGGCAACCAUUUGUUUCUUGCUGUUUCCUUUGUAUUGUUUUCCUUAAUAUUUUUUCAGUCUCUUGGCAGAUGCUGUAGCUAAGUUGUGAUAGUUUGAUUCCCUUGUACCAUGUUUCAUUUGUGACAAUCGGUCGCCCGGAAUAAUAACAUUUGUAUUUUUACUGUUGUCUCACAUUUUAGUUAAAAUAAAUAAUGGAAACAAUGGUGUUUCCCAAAUACACUCAUCUAAUUAUCUAAUUUUAAUGUUCCUCUUUCCUCUUUAAGCGUGUCUAGGUUUUUAGUUCUUGAUUUGUUUCAUCUCCUUUGAAAAUAUCCCGGAUUUAUCAUUAUUUUCACUAAUUCCUUCAUGCUUAGAUUGUUCUCUGCUUCAUUUUGUGUUUCUAUGGAGUUCAUUUUUGCCCUUUUUGAUGACUAAUUUCUCAUUUUCUUGCAUUUAUUGAGUAUAGCACAUUGAUCAUGCAAAAUUUUUUUAGCUCUUAUACCAAUUAUAUUUUAUUCUAAAUGACAAUGUUAAUAUUCACCAAAUUGGACCAUAUCUUUACCGUACAAGUUGAAAAAGAAAUGUAUCACUUUGGCACCUUUGGAAUAUUUGCAACUCUUGAGAUUUUUUUGAAGCACAAAAUGUGUUUGAGAGAACAGGACAGCCUCAGAGGCACAGAGAUAAAAAUAACCGAAUUAUUUCCAUUCACUCCUCUGUUUGAAGUCAUAAAAUAAACUGAGAAACAGCAUGAAUAGUAAAAA
Molecule: long non-coding RNA, 1623 nt
Filed under: Macaca mulatta (Rhesus monkey)
Lineage: Eukaryota; Metazoa; Chordata; Mammalia; Primates; Cercopithecidae
Description: lncRNA (ENSMMUG00000051592.1)
Source: RNAcentral